AUGAACUUCCAGGACGUCUACACGCUCCAGCAGGCGCUGGACGUCGCCCCUCCGCCUCGUCUUAUCACGGCACAAGACCGUGCGGAGCACGCUGAGCGGCAGCGCCGCCUCCUCAUCACCGAGGAGGACGAGCAGGCCAUGACGGAGUGGCGCCGGCGCCACCCGAAGGACGUCGCCGACGAGCAAGCCUAUUGGGCAGAGCAGACGGCAAAGCGCCGCGCGAAACCGUUGGACAGGCGUCGACAGAAGGCUGUGGCGUUAUCGCAGUGCGAGACCGUCGAAAAUGGUGGGCAGUCGAUCUUUUCGGCUAAUGAUUCUCGUUGGGACGACAUGUGGCUCGAUACCUCGGACCAGACCAGCAAGGAUGACGAUGAUGAUGAUGAUGACGACUGGGAGUAG
Molecule: ribosomal RNA, 399 nt
Filed under: Triticum aestivum (bread wheat)
Lineage: Eukaryota; Viridiplantae; Streptophyta; Magnoliopsida; Poales; Poaceae
Description: partial small subunit ribosomal RNA
Source: RNAcentral